CCUACGGGUGGCAGCAGUGAGGAAUAUUGGUCAAUGGACGAGAGUCUGAACCAGCCAAGUAGCGUGAAGGAUGACUGCCCUAUGGGUUGUAAACUUCUUUUAUAUGGGAAUAAAAUGUUCCACGUGUGGGAUUUUGUAUGUACCAUAUGAAUAAGGAUCGGCUAACUCCGUGCCAGCAGCCGCGGUAAUACGGAGGAUGCGAGCGUUAUCCGGAUUUAUUGGGUUUAAAGGGUGCGCAGGCGGAAGAUCAAGUCAGCGGUAAAAUUGAGAGGCUCAACCUCUUCGAGCCGUUGAAACUGGUUUUCUUGAGUGAGUGAGAAGUAUGCGGAAUGCGUGGUGUAGCGGUGAAAUGCAUAGAUAUCACGAAGAACUCCGAUUGCGAAGGCAGCCUACUAAACUGCCACUGACAUUGAUGCUCGAAAGUGUGGGUAUCAAACAGGAUUAGAUACCCCUGUAGUC
RNAcentral lists this ribosomal RNA (459 nucleotides) under uncultured bacterium. RNAcentral describes it as "partial 16S ribosomal RNA". It matches the Rfam family "Bacterial small subunit ribosomal RNA", at positions 338 to 795 of the family's 1533-position model. The record is from RNAcentral.